Venturia canescens is the source of this 1173-nucleotide long non-coding RNA. RefSeq lists it as uncharacterized. The transcript is spliced from 2 exons. Lineage: Eukaryota; Metazoa; Arthropoda; Insecta; Hymenoptera; Ichneumonidae. The record is from RefSeq and is a predicted model, not a curated record.
AAAAAUGUUGUCGUCGAAAGUUGUUGCUAAAAAUUUGGGGGAAUUUCGAUUUUAAAGAACAGCUUUUGAAAGUUGUACGUUUUCUUUUACAAAAAUUGACCGUUUUGUACGACACGUUCUCGCAGCUAUAACCUCAAAUGGAUUCCUGAGAAUUGACAUGUAUAGCGUAAAACAGUCCGAUUUAUAUUUCUCAACACCACAAAAGAUUCAUCGAGCGUGUACGAAUUUCGGUACAUUUUAUAGGUAUCGUAAAAAUGACUCACUCACCCUGUAUGCAUUUAAUAUAUAUAGGUGACUAUACGCCGCUCUUUCAUCGUCGUACAUGCCCAAAUCGCGUCUACGUCCACAAGCUUUGUGUGCAAUCUCUCGUGUCCCGAGAUUCCUUCAUGUGCAUACAAUUGCUGUAUGUGCUUUGCUCGAUCCUCCAAGUCAUAGGGUCAUUAUUCUCCAUGACGAAUAUGCAAAAGGUACGUCCUUAUGAUUCUUAGUAAUUGAUAUCCACUGUGAACGCUAUUUCACUUUCGACGAGCAGAGCGUAUUGUGUAUUAGUAAACGAAAGUCGGCUGUGUGCGAUGUCCGUGCGCGUGCUCGUGUGUGUGUGUGUGUGUGUACAUCGUAACGAAACGUCUGAAAUUGUACACUCGGCGUGCAGUGUCUAGAUUUAUACGUGAGCCCUGUUUCCAUUGCUGGAACGCUUUUUAGUCCUCGUGCGUUAAAACAUAUUGAGUUUUCCAUUGUUCCCAGUGUAUUGCAAUUUUCCGAAAAGAAACGAGCAAAAAGACAAUCGACAGCUGGUAAAGCAGGGCACCGUAAUUAUCGAAUGUAGAGAUCGUAGAAGUCUUCCGUCCGAGGUUGAAAAUAAGUUGGUGGAAAUAUCCGAAGUUUUUUUUCCAUUUUUUAAAAUAAUUUAUUACGAUUUAUCAGCAAGUUGACGAUUGAUUCUGAAAAAUUAAAUGAAUUUAAUAAAACAUUCGAUCUUUUGUUACUAAUUUACCAAAAUGAGAUGGGCAACGUGAAUUCGGAAUUUAAAAAUCUUGUAAAUUCUUCAUGUAAUUUACAGAUCAUUCACAAAACUGAGUUUUCGUUAUUCCGGGUGGAAAAACUUGGCGAUCGAUAUAACCAUUCAAAUGAAAUGAAUAAAAAGGGUGAAUCACCAUUUUUAAAUCUCUGCAA